AAUCAACGCUGGCGGCGUGCCUCAGACAUGCAAGUCGAACGAUUAAAGCUCUCUUCGGAGAGUGCAUAAAGUGGCGCACGGGUGAGUAACACGUAAGUAAUCUACCUUCGAGUGGGGAAUAACGUCCGGAAACGGACGCUAAUACCGCAUAACGCAGCGGCAUCGCAAGAUGACAGUUGUUAAAGAUUUAUCGCUUGAAGAGGAGCUUGCGGCAGAUUAGCUUGUUGGUAAGGUAACGGCUUACCAAGGCUACGAUCUGUAUCCGGUCUAAGAGGACGGUCGGACACACUGACACUGAAUAACGGGUCAGACUCCUACGGGAGGCAGCAGUCGGGAAUUUUGGGCAAUGGGGGAAACCCUGACCCAGCAACGCCGCGUGAAGGAUGAAGUAUUUCGGUAUGUAAACUUCGAAAGAAUAGGAAGAAUUAAUGACGGUACUAUUUAUAAGGUCCGGCUAACUACGUGCCAGCCGCCGCCGUAAC
RNAcentral lists this ribosomal RNA (482 nucleotides) under uncultured bacterium. Its description in RNAcentral is "bacterial SSU rRNA". It matches the Rfam family "Bacterial small subunit ribosomal RNA", at positions 32 to 524 of the family's 1533-position model. The record is from RNAcentral.